RNAcentral lists this ribosomal RNA (486 nucleotides) under uncultured bacterium. RNAcentral's name for it is "partial 16S ribosomal RNA". It matches the Rfam family "Bacterial small subunit ribosomal RNA", at positions 30 to 507 of the family's 1533-position model. The record is from RNAcentral.
AUUGAACGCUGGCGGCAUGCCUUACACAUGCAAGUCGAACGGCAGCACGGGUGCUUGCACCUGGUGGCGAGUGGCGAACGGGUGAGUAAUACAUCGGCACAUGUCCUGUAGUGGGGGAUAGCCCGGCGAAAGCCGGAUUAAUACCGCAUACGAUCUACGGAUGACAGCGGGGGACCUUCGGGCCUCGCGCUAUAGGGUUGGCCGAUGGCUGAUUAGCUAGUUGGUGGGGUAAAGGCCUACCAAGGCGACGAUCAGUAGCUGGUCUGAGAGGACGACCAGCCACACUGGGACUGAGACACGGCCCAGACUCCUACGGGAGGCAGCAGUGGGGAAUUUUGGACAUUGGGCGAAAGCCUGAUCCAGCAAUGCCGCGUGUGUGAAGAAGGCCUUCGGGUUGUAAAGCACUUUUGUCCGGAAAGAAAUCCUUGGCCCUAAUACGGUCGGGGGAUGACGGUACCGGAAGAAUAAGCACCGGCUAACUACGUG